AAAAGUUGUGGCUAAAGGUUGGGUUCGAAGUGUAGAUCCCAAUCACGAUGUUGGAGGAAAACGACUAGGAUUAAAUUGGUGUGAAGUUCAAGUUUCAGUUCCUAUAGAAUGGGAAGAAGAUUUGAUUAGGCCAUAUUCAAACUUGUCCACAAUUGGAGAUGCAAUUGGAGCAUGCAUUGCAUGGCCUCGACACUUGGUGACUGACGACGAUGAUGAUUGAAGAAGAUUGAUCGUGCUGGCUGCUGUUCUCUUUUUUGCUGUAUUUUUUUUGGUCUUUGCCACGACAAAAUGAAUGAAAGAAACUUAGUUAUGGUUAUUUCCUCAAAAAUCUUGUGAGUUUUAUUAAGUUUUAACAUGGUUAUAGCUUUGGUGACAUACAAGAGUGGUGGAGCAGAUGUAUUUCAUAAGAUCUUAAAGUUUGUUGUUUUGCAACGAGUUCAGUUGGAAAAUAUAAAUGAAUUUAGCAAUA
Long non-coding RNA from Salvia miltiorrhiza (redroot sage), 469 nucleotides. RefSeq lists it as uncharacterized. NCBI's taxonomy places the organism in Eukaryota, Viridiplantae, Streptophyta, Magnoliopsida, Lamiales, Lamiaceae. The record is from RefSeq and is a predicted model, not a curated record. The transcript is spliced from 2 exons.